GCGUGUGUGUGUGUGUGUUUCGGUUAAUGGUCUCAGCUUCACUUAUACACAGGCAGAUUAGGAGCCUGGGAAAUAGGAGGCUCUCUCUCUGGCAAGGAGCAAAGCUUUCCCUCUGCUCCUCGCUCUCUCUUUCUCUUUUUUACUCUCACUUGCUGGCUCUCCGGGUAUGGCAUUUCUCGGACAUUUCGCAGUGGCAGCGUCGCAGCAGCAGCUCAGUCGACAACUGACAGCCAACCAGCAGCAUAUUUUUUUGGUUCUCCCUCUAUUAAUUCGACUAUUGUUAACCUAGUUUCACUUCCCAAAAACAAAAAAAAAUUCAAAAACCAACAAGGACGAGUUCAGAGCAGCGCUGGCUCCUCUGUCUUCGAUUAACCCACAAAAUAAAUCUUGAAAAUCUUGUAAAGAAACCAAAAAAAAAGAAAGUCUAUCGCCAAGGACUUGACGCGUAGAGAGGACGAAACAAAAAUUAUUCCACUCCAUUUUUCGGUUCUCCUCGGAGCAGGAUCAUCGCCCCCCACCCAUCCCAAUCGUAUCCCCCCCCGUAGCAGUAGUAUAUCCUUGGCAUUAUCCUUCCAUCAACUAUCC
Molecule: non-coding RNA, 585 nt
Organism: Drosophila bipectinata
Lineage: Eukaryota; Metazoa; Arthropoda; Insecta; Diptera; Drosophilidae
Source: RefSeq, a predicted model, not a curated record